Long non-coding RNA from Talpa occidentalis (Iberian mole), 210 nucleotides. RefSeq lists it as uncharacterized. NCBI's taxonomy places the organism in Eukaryota, Metazoa, Chordata, Mammalia, Eulipotyphla, Talpidae. The record is from RefSeq and is a predicted model, not a curated record. The transcript has 3 exons.
UCCCAAGCAGCUGUCUGGUUGGAGACCACUAGACUGUUUAACAAAUCACUUAGACACAGGCCAUUCUCAACUUCUCAAAACACAGAUGGAUUAUUCGGGCUUCAGGGAACCUUUACAUGUCCUUCGACACAGGUGACAUUGUUGGACUCAGUUGCUUCAGCAUUGUUUAUUGAAGAGUCCAUCUUGGCUUGCAUCCCCACAGAAGCAGAC